AGAGUUUGAUCCUGGCUCAGAGCGAACGCUGGCGGCAUGCUUAACACAUGCAAGUCUCACGGGCAGCAAUGUCAGUGGCGGACGGGUGAGUAACGCGUAGGAAUCUAUCUUUGGGUGGGGGAUAACUGUGGGAAACUACAGCUAAUACCGCAUGAAACCUUAGGGUCAAAGCAGCGAUGCGCCGAAGGAGGAGCCUGCGU
This 200-nucleotide ribosomal RNA is filed under the name uncultured bacterium. Its description in RNAcentral is "partial 16S ribosomal RNA". It matches the Rfam family "Bacterial small subunit ribosomal RNA", at positions 8 to 236 of the family's 1533-position model. The record is from RNAcentral.